This 684-nucleotide small RNA is filed under the name Xanthomonas vesicatoria. Its description in RNAcentral is "bacterial LSU rRNA". The stretch from base 237 to 684 matches the Rfam family "Bacterial large subunit ribosomal RNA", at positions 1 to 502 of the family's 2925-position model. Lineage: Bacteria; Pseudomonadati; Pseudomonadota; Gammaproteobacteria; Lysobacterales; Lysobacteraceae. The record is from RNAcentral.
ACCCACCACUCUGAAUGUAGUGCACACUUAAGAAUUUAUACGGAUCAGCGUUGAGGCUGGUACGUGUUCUUUUAUAACUUGUGACGUAGCGAGCGUUUGAGAUAUCUAUCUAAACGUGUCGUUGAGGCUAAGGCGGGGACUUCGAGUCCCUAAAUAAUUGAGUCGUAUGUUCGCGUUGGUGGCUUUGUACCCCACACAACACGUACAUGUAGCUCCGAGGCAACUUGGGGUUAUAUGGUCAAGCGAAUAAGCGCACACGGUGGAUGCCUAGGCGGUCAGAGGCGAUGAAGGACGUGGUAGCCUGCGAAAAGUGUCGGGGAGCUGGCAACAAGCUUUGAUCCGGCAAUAUCCGAAUGGGGAAACCCACUGCUUCGGCAGUAUCCUGCAGUGAAUUCAUAGCUGCUGGAAGCGAACCCGGUGAACUGAAAUAUCUAAGUAACCGGAGGAAAAGAAAUCAACCGAGAUUCCCUAAGUAGUGACGAGCGAACGGGGAACAGCCCUUAAGCUGGAAUGGCUUUAGAAAAACAAUCUGGAAAGAUUGGCCAUAGAAGGUGAUAGCCCUGUAUUUAAAAGGGCCACUCCAGUGAAGACGAGUAGGGCGGGGCACGUGAAACCCUGUCUGAAUAUGGGGGGACCAUCCUCCAAGGCUAAAUACUCCUGACCGACCGAUAGUGAACCAGUACC